CCGGGCAGCCGCCAGCGCGGGCAGACGGCGGCUGUGCGGGCACCGCGCUCCCGACACACACACCCAGACACACACACAGGCCCGCAGACACAGACACCGCCUUCUCCGCAUGCCCCCUUCACACGCACCCGCACCCCCUGACGCGCCGUGUCUCCACGCACACCUGUUCGUAUGUGAGUACACGCUCCUCGCCUUUGCCUUUCCACAGCACACACCCGGUGCUCGCACAGCUCGCCCGUGAAGGCUCGGCACACUCGCCCUGCCCGUGCGCCGAGCGCUGGCAGCUGUGGGCGCUCACGGCGCCGUGGAGGUGCCCGGCCACUCGUGCCUCUGGCCCUGGCUCGCAGGGGCACACGCGUGGCGCUGCCCGCCUGCUGCAGCGCUGGCACGCACAGCUCGUCCCCACGCACCUCUGCACUCACGCUAACAACACGCUCGGCUCUUGCACACGCAAUGCACAAGGGCACGCAGCUUCCGAGGCCUCCCUCCCGGGAAAGAGGGGCUCAUCCCGCUGUCUGGGCUCGGUCGUUUGCCCUUGCACGUUUUUCCCUUUCGCAGGCAGGAAUGAGAUGUCCUCAUUCCUCUUCUGACCCUGUGUGGUCCUCGCGACCCUCGUGCCGGCGGGAGCACACAGUUGUCCCACCUCUCUGGGGUACUGGCAGGUUUGUUUGCCGAAGCUGCUCCAGCCAGGCAUCUCUGUUCUCACUUCGCUAAUGAAAUGCCUGGCUUUGAGCUGGAAACUGAGUGGGUGGAUGACACUAAUUUUUGAUGCAAAUCGUAUCCCUGCCAGGAAAGAAGCCUGAUUAUUUUGCCCAAAACAAUUCACAUUCCUAAGGAAGAUUUUCCAUCAGAAUAGGCCCGGGUUUGAAUUCUUAAUGAUAUGCUAAAAACCUUGCAGUUCUAGUUGUUUUGCUUCUGAUAGUGAAGGUUGAUCACGCCCAGGCCCCAGCCUUUGUCAAAGAUGUGCAGGUGAGGUCUCCCAGCUGGCUGGGGCCUGUAGCCACAGCUCUGAAUCAUUCAAAAGUCUCCUUCUCAGCAGGAAUCCACUGUGUUAUUGUUGCUCUGCAUGUUUCUCAUAGUUAUUUUCUCUAACUUUUCUAUUUUUCUUUACUUACACUGAAAUUAGAUUGUUUCUAGAAAAUAACCCACCUGGAAGUUGCUAUACACAAUGAUGGUCUCCUUUCUUCUGAAUUACACAGCACCAGCAUUCAAAUCCCCAAGAGCAUUUGAAAAUAGGGGGAACUUAAGCUACAUACCAUAUUGCUGAGGUAAACUGAGAUAAUAUUUAUCCAAAAGGCAGAAAAAUGGAGACACAGAUAGUUCAGUAUGAAAUCAUUGAGGUAAUCUGGUACAGGCAGAACAAAGACUAGAUUUCCCUGGGUUUCUCAGCUCAUUAUUCUGUAUUUGAUGCCGUAGGUCAGAUGCCUUGUUUCUCCUUUUGCCAUGAUAUUUUAUGGGAUGGGCAAGAUAGCAGAUAAAGAAAAAGCUCCUACAGGUGAAUUGUGUUGGCAUUCAUACCAAACAGCUUCAAAAUGAAAGUGAUAGGAGUUUCAUAGUUCAGGGCGUUUCCAUCUAGAUGGGACUGAACACUCAUGACUGUGUCAUGCAUCUGUGGAUAUUGCACUGAGCUCUUUAAAAAUACCUGCAGCUCACCCACAGUGAGUGGAAUCCUGUGGCCUAAUUAGGUUCUGACAAUUUAUGUGCACCAGAUUUACAAAUCCAAAUCUUAUCCAGAAGUAUCCAAUGCAUUUUUUUCAGCUGGCACAGUUACAAGGUUAAUGUAAUAAACAUAAUCAACACAAAUGUAUACCUGGGCACAGCAUUUAUUUCACAUAGCAUGUUUGCUGUCCAGCAAAGCUCAUCCGCGUCAUAUUGCCCAUGCCUGUAAAAUCCUGCUAAAUCAGUGUCUCUGGUGUGCCAUGUGAGCUGUGCUGAAAACCGAGCAGGGUGUAGCAGCUGCAGGAUGCUCAGACUCAAAAUUAUACUCUAGACCUUUCCAGGACUAUUUCUUUUUUGGCUGUUGUGUGGCUAUUAGACAUUUGCUUCAGCUUGAUUUUAUCUAGCUCUCUAUCUUCUAUACUGAAAAAGACAUUAGCAGAUUAAAAUCUGGCAGAAGUUCUCCUGAGCUUAAUGUCAUGUAUAUAAAUGGAUUGGUAUCCACAGAUUUCAGACCUUAAUGACACAGUUUUUUAUCCACAUUGGUAUUAAAAUUUUUGGUGGUAUAGUAAAAUUAUUUUAUUCUAAGUUAUGGUUAUUUCAGUCCUACAAUAUUACACACAUAUUUUCUAUCUUGGAUAUUUCACUCCAAUUCCAGACUCUUCUGCAAUUAAUCUAGCAAGUGACAUUUAGCUUCUUACCAUGUUUGAUGCAAAUUGCCUGAUUUGUGUCCAUUCAGAUGUAAAGUAGGAAAAAGACAUAGGUCCUAUUUCUGUGCAGAAUUUUUCCAUUUGUUCCCUAUUUCCAGAAAACAUACAACCCUUCUGUCAAAAUAGGCUUUUAUUUUUUCUCAACUUGUCCAAUGUAAACAAUCACAGUGCUAUACUGUUAACUUCGCUGCACCAGGAAACCUGAAUCAAAUCUGCUUUUCAUUUCUUAUAAUGCAAAUGACCUGCACCCUCCAGCAUCCUAUUCAUCUCCUUGAAGGAGUAACUUGAAUAAUAUUAAGGGCACAAUAUCUCCCUUUUUUAUUGUUUAAAUAGGUAGCUAAAUUGCCAGUGUCUAGUUUAUAUAAAGCUGUAUAGGCUAGAUGAUAGCAUUUACAGAUUUGUCCAAUCUCACAGCUGAUGAAUGAGGCUUUCCUAAAAUUCCCCUCCCCUCGUGGCUACAGCACUACAGGUACCAAACGCCUCUGGUCACUCCCUGAGCAGCUGCAGACAGAUGGGGGACAAACUUCAGGGCUGGGGAGGAGGGAGGGAGUUUACAGCUCUGGUCCCUGCUCGGUGCUUGGAGGAGGACUGCUGGGAACACCCCUCGUCCUUCCCUGGCAGCCGUCCCGGUGACGGCUGUCUCACUUUCACUGCCUCCAUUCCCCUGCCACAUGACUCAGCGCCAUGAGCUUCAUUCACUGGGCAACCAAACAAAAACCUGUGCUCUGCCUGACACACACACAGCACACCCUGCACAGAUGGUCAAACUGCCCACAGAGGUCCUGUAAGCCGCGGAAGCUGCCUAAAAUCACUGAGCUGCACACAACUUGAAUGAGCCAAGCAGACCCCGCUUAGGGGUCAGAGCCCUGUGCUUUGACCUGGGUAUGUUUGCAGACAAGUUGUAUCAGCUGUGCCUGUGCUGCACCAGCUGGGUUUGAAAUUAUCUAAUUGAAAUAGACCGCUUCCAUUUUUUAAACUGCUAACUUACUGGUGCUAAAUAAGCCAAUUUAAUCAAAGAUUUGGCUUGUUAAUUGCUUAUUUAUUUGACCUGUUGAACGUUUCAUUCAAUUUGAAGAGGAGGUUCUGUUAAGCAGUGGAAGUGACUUGGUUUCAUUGAGACAGGCAAUAAUAUAUAAAUCACUGAUUUCUGAUUAAUCUGUGUCAGAUAGAUUAAUUGCACCAUGACUGGUAGAAGGCUUCAAGAAAAAUCCUUAGGUUUUGUCAAGUCAAAUAUUAGGUUUUGUCAAGUUAAGCACCUGACCUGGGCAUUUCCCCACCACUAUGGAAGGCAGAGAUUCUUUCAGAUACAGAGAGUGGAACACGAAAUAUUCAAGUGCUAUAAAAGAACAAUAUUGAAGGACGUUACAUCUCAUCAUCUGCAUACUUUGUGCUGCUUUAUUAAACUCACACACACAAAAUAAUCAGCUAUAUAUCAUCUCAUUAGUGACUAUUGUUUUCUUGAAUGUAUAUACUAAAUAAACUCUUCUUUGCCACAUACAAGCCACAAUUUAUUCCAUGGUUUUUAACAAACCAUGAAACCUAAACAUUAGGCAAAUAGAAUAUAAUGUAUAAAUUAAAAUGAGCAAAAUUUAUAUUAUAUUCAUUCAUACAAUCAUUUGAAAAAUGGGAAUAUUUGGGCUCAUAUAAGCGUCCACAGAUUUUGUCUCAGCUUUUUGCUUGUCCAUGUCUGUCUAUGAACUGGGUGACCCAAUAAUUCCUUGUAUUCCAGUAUCUUUUGAAGCAGGAAAGGUAACUGAACUCCUAUGCAACUGUGUUUCAUGAGCUGUUGCUGAUGGAAAUUAUGUCAGCAACAUUCACGCAUCAGCAAUAAUCACUCCAUUUUCUCUCAUAAACACUAAACUCUUCAACAUUAAUGUAUACAGUGCUUCCAGCUUUCUACUUGGCAAAGUGAAACUUCUGUAUGUAUUUUCUGCUUGAUGCCUUGGGCUUACAUGAAUCUUAGGCUUUCCCUUAGUAAUCUUUUGAGAGAUCUCCACUACGAACAAAACUAAACUUCUAAAAACUGUUACAAUUUAAUUUUUAAGGACUUUCUGAAAGUAGUCUUUUCUUCUCUGACUGGCUUUUCAUUUUAAACUGCAGGUCUUGGAAAGCAGUCAAGUCUAUAAAAGACAUUUAAAAUACCUUCCAUUUUCUUCCCAUCACUCACUAAGACUUUUGGUUAAAUAACAAUGAGUAAAGAAAAGUGUUAAGCCGCUCUUAACUGGCAGGCUAAAAUAUGCAACAGGGGAGCCUUUGCUUCCAAUAACUGUGGAGAAGAAAGCAAGCUGCAAACUUGGCUUGUGACAGGAUGGGGGGAAGUAAUAUCAAAGUUGAGAAGGAAAAAAGGAGUGCAAGGUGAUGUUUAUGUAAUCAGAAUAACAGCAGAUAAGGAAAGGAAACAGACUGGUUUGGUACAGAUGUCUGUGGAGAGAAGAAGGUAGAGAAACCAGAAAGGACAGGGUGGAGAAGGAAGAGGGAUUUCUGGAAUCAAAGCCAAGCAAUGGCUCUGCAGGGUUAUUUCUGGAGCUGAUCAGCAUAAGAGGAAAAGCAGCAUGAGGCACCUCUGAAGUGAGAAGAAAGGAGGUUGGUGUUUUCCAUCCACCCUCCAGAAAAUGAAUGAACUCUACAGGAGAAAAUACAAUGAAAAGAAACAUAUGAUAAAGGAUCAUAUCUGGAGCUGAGCAGAGGAUUCAGUGGGAAUAGAACCACUACACUUGAUGAUGAAAGAAAGUAUUUCAUUGUGUACUUAUUCUUUUUACUCAUAAAAAUUUUAUUGUGUUACUGCUUUGUUAACAACAAUGUAGUUAUCAUUUCCUUGGCCCCUGGCAGGCCAGAGUGGUUGUCUUAUAUAACAAAAAUGUGGUUUUGACUUAUUUAUCUUUCUUCUGGGCCUAAGGAAUGCUGUAAUAUAUAAUACUAUAAUUGCUGUCUAUACUAAGAUGGUCAUAUAAGGAUCAUAUAUAUUUUGAUAUAAACAUGUGUAUUGUAUUAUAUCCCAUGUAGCACAAAACCACAUUAGAUCCCCAUUGAACCAGUACUGCCAGACUAGAAGAAAACACAUGAAAAAAAAAACAGAGCUAAAACAUGUCUCUGUAGCAAACCUCCACUGUGUGAUCUUAAACAGAUUCAUGAUUCAAAUCAGUGGAUAUCACUAAGAAUGAAUAUGCCUUUUAUGUCACUGUGUUUUGAGGAUUUGUUGGUUAACUGAAGGUCGGGAUCACCUGUUCUGUAGUAAAAUCUUGCAAGUUCACCCUGGCAACUGGAUGUUAUUAAGGUAUUAAUAACUUCAGGUAUUAAAGGAAGAAUCUAAAUACUGGAGAUGAGUGAAAAAAAAUACCAGAAAGUAGUCUUUAUGAUAAUGUAAUUUAGUUCAAUCAUUUAUGAUAAUACUAUUAAAAUCUAGCACAGUAUGAAGAAUAAAAUAAGUGUUAGCAGGACAAGACUUUACUGGGUCUUUGGGUUGUUAAAUAUCUCCCAAGGUUAGCCAGGUCCUGCAGUUUUUUGCAAGGGACUUAAUCCUGUGGGUCAGAAUCUUGUGCUUCUAAACCUGGUCCUUGGGCCUGGCUCACCAAUGCUUUGAGAUAAGCCCAACAUGAUCAGGAUAGCUGAAUGCUAUGCUGCCUUCAUGUCGCUGCAAAAGACUACAGAGUGGGAACAGUGUAGAGCAGUAACAGUGUAAAGUAGUAAAGUAGCCAGCUACUUUAUAGAUCUUAACCAAAUCCUGUACAGCUCUUUCCUUCUCCUAGACAGAAACUGAGGCAAGAAGGACACGUGAAUUGCAGAUGCCUGUAGAAGAGAUGGUUGUCAAAAACAAUAUUACAGCUGAUUUGCCUGUGCAAACACUAUUAGACCACACCUUAACAAGAUGAAUUAUUAAUAAAAAAGCUGCACGGGAAAUUAAUUUCUGCUGCCUCUCACCAAAACCAGUUGUUCAGACUUGAAUGUGUCACAGUUGCACAACGUAAGUUUUGCCUUAAGGACACAGUUACCCAACAUGAUGGAUUUUUCAUGAUGUCCUUCCUAACAGUAUCCUCAUCCUUCCUCUGUCCUUCCAAUUUCCCUCUUCAUCACCAUGAUAUCAAUUUUUGGUUCAGCUUUCUAGAAGGUGCAGAAUGAUGGGAGUCCUGUGUUUGUAUGGUGAGCACAGCAUUAGCAGUCCCAGGCUGGGCAGCAUCCUCUGUGCAGCCUUGCCAAUCUGCCCUGGAUAAAAUAGGGAAAAAAAAAAUUACAUAUUUAAAUGACAGGCAUCAAACCCUAGCACAUGGAUGGAAUCAAUGUUAAGUUACCCAUCUCUGGUAAAAUAUCCAGGUGAAAGUAGUUCCAAUGAGACUGGGAAAUUUUCUGUUUCCCUUCAGAACCUGCUGAUGACUACUAGCAGAGGUUACUUGCUGGCCAGUUCUAUUAUUACACUGUGUAAACAUCUUAUCCUGCUGUACUGUGUUCCAGACUCCCUCCCACUUCUCUGUUCACAAUUGAUGGAGUGCCUAAGACCUGGAUGAUGAGUUCUUCGGCUUAGAACUUGUACAAUUUUUUACAAAAUCCCAUUUCCUAGUUAGCAUCCUUAGGCAUUACCACAAUAAAACCAAUAAAUAGUAAUAACAAAAAAAGAAGGAUGGAAGGUGGGUGAAGACAUGACUAAUUACUUAAACAAUACUUGGACCACAAGCCACAGGCAACAUAGGAGCUUGGGGAAGAGCAAGUGGGUGGAGAGUUACCUGAACAACAGAGGGUUGGGCAGGUAAAGAAUAGAUAUUGCAAGACAAAACUGAGAGUUUUUAUUUUGAUAGCAUCAUGGAAUUUAUAAAUUAAGGGAUGACAGCUGUAGAUUAAGCAUGGCACAAGUUGCUUUACUCUCUCUCUCUGUGCAGCCUGGCUUGGCACUGUCACACAGAAAAAAGCUAGUUGAAAUGGUGAUAUAACAAGCUGGGAGAUGUGAGAAGCAGAAGUUCCCAAACCAGGUUGGCAGAAGGACCACGUGCUGUACCAUGGCAGCUGCAGCACCAAACCUUGCCUCCCCUUCCCAUGAGGAAGGCCGUGCUUCCCUCUCAGGGCUGGGCUUACACUUGGGUGGAGGAGAGGCAUGCACUUAUCCAGGUAGUGUUGGGUUAAACAACAACUCCUCACCUUUCCCUGGAAAAUGCAAGAAACUGAGCCUUGUUUGCCUUAAUAUUUAUUUUCAUUUAUUUUCAUACCACUCACUGUGUGUAUGUCGCUUGGAAACACUUAGGCCAAAAGAUGAUACAACAGUGACAGACUGAACUUUAUUUAAAUUUAUAUUUGUGGAUUGGGAGCAUAGAUGUAGUUGCUCCUGAAAUGAAGGAGCACUUCUUUGCACAGUGGGUAAUGAACUUCUGGAAUUCAUUGCCACAGGAGGUUGGGAAAGCAGGCUAUUAGCAGGCAUAAAAAGGGAUUAGAAAAGAUUUGUGAACAAUGCCUCUAUUAACAGAUAAUAAAAGGAACAGGCAGUUCCAAUGUCCGUGGGCUUAGGAGACUGGACCAGAGGAAGAGGCCAGGUACACAUGCUCUCCCUGAAAAGCAUCUCCUAUGAUCUGAGGCUAUGCAAUCUGGAUCUGCCUUGGCCAUCUCUGUUAAUGUUGUGCUGGGAGUGUGGGGCACUCUCCAGGCUCUGCUGGGGCCUUCAAAACCUGUGGCUCACCAGGGCAGAUGGCCAGCACCCAUGCAGCUACCCCAGGGCCAUCACAGGCACUGGGCAGCAACAGCACCCGCAGAACAUUUCUUAAUGCUCUGAUGGGUUAAGCCCUAAGUGGUGCUGCUCUCAAAGAGGGCCAGAAACCAGCGUGGUGGAGUUGAAAAGGAGUUAUAAAGAACAAAAAGGAACUGGCUUUAACAAAUCAUUCACUGGGGAUCAGGAAAAUACAGAUGGAGGGAGACAUAAAAUUCUGUUAAUACACUACAAGUUUGAUAAUUGUUUGGGAUAGCACCAAAGGAAUUCACUCUCCAAAAAGUGAAUAAAAACAAGUAUUCCUUUAUUUCAAGGGACCCACUAAAAGGAAGAGUGAAAUCAAACUAGACAUGACUUUUCAGCUGUCUCUUUUUUCCAGCAGAAUGCUCUAAGUCUAGUUUAUUCUGCUCAUACCAUUUCUGAGUACUUCUACUGCCCUUUUCUGGAUUCUUCCAAUUCUGUUACCUCCUGCCUGAAAUCAGGGCAGUAUACUGAAACUACUCUCCAUGUUAGGCUGCACCAUGGAUUCUUACCCUAGCACAAGGAGGUUCUCUGUUUUUCUUAUUUUGUUUGCAAGUCCUGAGGCUGUGUUUGUCUGAUUGACCAGCACUGAGCUGGCAUUUGUUAUUCACCAUCUAAUAUCUUCUUCCUCUAUGGUAAUAGGGAAAUCUUUUUUUGUUUUGUUUUCCCUGUAAAAUGAAAGACCAUUUUCUCUUCUGUCUUUGUGCUCUGAAUUUCAUUUACCACUUUUUAUCACUGAGUCAUUCUGGUUUAGGAGAUUAUUCUAGAUAUUUUCAUAACUAUUGAAGUUAUUAUCUCAUUGUCUGGCUUUCCAUGGAAAAUGUAGAUCUUAGCAAAUAUUCUUCUGAGGCUCAGAUAAUCAAAACAUUGAAGAAAUUAGGGCUGUUUUAGAAAAAUGUGAGGAAUGAGGAAGACCUGUAAUAUGCGAUAGACUGGUACAAGGGAAAAUACUUAAAUUAGCUCUGUGUGUGUGUGUGUAUAUCCCUGGUUACACAAUAGCCAUGGAGCACAUAACCAAAGAACAGAAAUACCUGGAGGGAAUGAGCAAAGAAGACUUACAGAGGAGCAGACUGUGAUUGAGAAUACAGAAGGAGGAUCUCAGGAAUGAAGUUCAUUACAGUCAUCUAUGUACAUAUCCAAGAAAAUCUCUUUGGGAAAGUAAGAAAUGCAUCACUGCUGGGACACUGUAAAUGCCACUGGCAGAAAAGGACCAAGAGCAGCAGCAGUGUCCAUUCAGAAAUUACUGUGACCUUAUUUGUAUCUCUAGGCCCAUGGACAAUGGCUAAUCAACACAAGAAAGAAUUCUGGUUUGCUUUAUGCUUUUUCUUCUUUCUGUUUUCUGUUCUUUGAAUGAAGUCCUACUUUAACAAGUGUGGCAGUGUAAUGAAAAAAAGUUCCUCACAAAUAUUGAAUAGUCAUAUAGCAGAGAAAAGAGCACCACCUAGUGCUAAGUGCUGUUUCUUGAUGCUGAGGUGUCUCCGUGCACUCUUAUCUUCUGGAUGUCUUGAUUUUGGUGUUUUCCUGCAGUUUACCCAUCCAGAGAAGAUGUAAUCCUUGGCAUCGAGGAGUAUCCAGGCUGUUGAUAAGAGCAGCUGGUUCAUCAAGAGCUCAACAUCUCUCAGAGUUUUGUGCACACUAAGGUAUGUGCAACAGAAGCAUGAGGCAUUUUAUCUGUGAUCUUGCAGCAGAUUAGUGUUCUGUGAGUACUUGGGCAUGAUUAAUUCCUCCUACAGCAAAAAAUAAAGUAACAAAUUGCCUUACUGAAAAUAAGUUUUCAGUCAAACAAUCCAGAUAGAUAGAGUAGCAAAAUAGAUGAGUUUUCAAAAAGAACAGUGUGGAUGUGGCAAAAAAAUCUGAUAAGACAUUUUUCUCAACAGAUCAUCUAUUCAUGAGGCAAGCAGCUGAAGUGAGGCUGAGAGGAAGAGAACAUUUUUUCAGAUCAGCCCCAGAAAUACUGUAACUAAAAAGUUAAAAACACAGUCAAAAGCCCUUUUCUGCCACUGCCAAACUUAAAAUAAGUACUUGCCAGAAAAGACUAUAAAUAGGACAAAGCAAGGAGGGCGGGCUGUUUUAUUUCUGAUACCUGAACAAAUAUGAGACAAUGGGGCUUGUGAAGGUGCAGGAGGCUUGGUACUGCUCUGCCUGUGCUUGGUGCUAUACCAGGGCUUGGCAGGACUGAACAAAACAUCAGUGAAACAUCUGAUGGGGGGCUGCGUGAACAAAACCAGUAAUUGAUAAUGACAGAGACUAAAUUUCAAGAUUUUGCUCUACAUAAAAUUAGAAAAUAUAAUGUAAUGAUUUUUAAAGAAAUAUUUAUAAAGUUAGAUUCAAAAAACAGGCAUAUGCAAGAAAGACAGCACCUUUAGUAAUCCUAUAGUUUUUCCCAAUUUUCCUUCCAUUCUUGUUUAAGGAUGCCAGUGGGUACCCUCCCAGGAGCACAUAAAGUGCUUUCUCUCAGCAGGCUCCCAACAAAGAUGGAGCUGUGCAGUGAUUAACUGAAUUACCAUUUGGAUUUACUCUGGUAAAGGGAACAGGCUGCAAUUGCUGAGUAGUCCUGGGACCUCACAGAGAGCUGGAGUGCUCUUCCACCAACACCCAGAGCUUGCAAAAAGCACUGUAAAACACCUGGAGCACUCCCUUUUGGCAUAGGGCUCUGGCAAGGAAUGGGAAUGGUUCUUCACAAAAGCCAUAGAAACAACUAUGCUUCUAAAAAAAUAUUCAAGGUGCUGCUUAUGUUCUGUUAUUUUUAAGCUGAGAAUACAGACAAGCUACAGGACCUGGAUCUGAACUGGGGUGUGGGUUGGUGUGCAUGUGUGCACAUGUGCCUGGGGGAGCAGUGCCUGUGUUCAUAUAGUUUCUUCCUGAUCAGCUGGUUUAUAAAGGCUUAUUAAAAGACAAAAAGGGAAUGAAGUUCAAAAAAAAGCAUCCUCUUGUCAGCAAAAUAAUUAUAUUAUUUACUCUAAAGGUGUAAGAUUUAACCUUCAUUUACCAGGAUACAAUGGUCAUCUCUGUGGUUACUUCAAUUUACAUUAUAACUGAGUAUGACAUGUGCAUCUUGUCUCUUCCUGCCUAGCACCCUCCCUGAACUCUCCUAUUUUCCACUUGGAAUGCCUCGAACAACAGAUAAGGAAGUGUGCAAUUUUAUAUUAUCCCUUUAAAAAACUCUUUUCUAAUGUCUAAAUAAUUUCAUCUGAACACUUAGGCAUUGUAACUCACACUGAACUGACUCCCCUCUGCCUGUGAACAAUAGUGCACCUACUUGUCUCCUGUUUCUUCCUGCUGACAUGGCACAGGUCAGUGAAGGUACUUAAGUAUUCUGGAAAUAACAGCCAAGUCAGUGGCUUAGGUCACCCAUAACUACAUCGACUUCAGAAAUGAAGAUAUGAAAUGGCUCACCCAUGAAUGCAGCACAAAUAUCCCAGUAAGUGCAAUCACAAUCCUGGCUUUCAGAGUCCAAAUUCCUAGCCCACCUUCUUGUUAUGACUUUUGCAGCCAGUAAGACAAAGAGCAUGUUUAAUGUGCUGGGCCACAGUAACAGCAGCAGAAAUACAUACAGCUGCCUGCAAAAACUAGUGAUAGCCUCAGGAUAGCAGCAUUUCAUUUUCUUGCACGGCUUCUUUUAUAAUUCCUUUAAUCUCAAUUUUCUGAAGGAAAAUGAAAGCUGUAUUUGGCAAAACCCAAAUGGGUUACUCCUGGGAUCCACAGCCCUCUGCAUCCUUCAUCCUUGUGAAUCCUUGCAUUUUCAUGCAAGAAUGAGCAUUCAGCUGCCAUGAAAAGAUAAGCUUAAAGAUGAGCCUAAAAGUUCCUUUUUCAGAUCUACAUUCCAAAGCACCUUAUCAGACAUGGACUGAAGGACAUAAGAAAGGCUAACACAGCAGAUCACAGCCAGAGAGUCCACCCCUGCAGAGCUUUCGGGCAUGGAAGCCUUUUUCACUGUUUAUGUAAAGAGAGCCCAAUGUUGUGCAGGAUGGAUAUGCAAUGUCAACCCUGAGCUGAGCAAGGAACAAAGAGACCAUGGACUGCAUGAGCCCCAGCUCAGUAUGACACUGCAGGGAUUUGUGUCUCUGGAUUUCAGAGCCACUGGAAAAGCUGGCAGAGCUCUCUGGAGUUCCUGCUGGUACCAGUAACCAAAGAAAAUCCAGGGCUAAAGAGAUCAGGUGAAAUAGCCUCAGAGAGAGGAAAUGGGCUUGUCCGUCUGUUUAUACAUGGCCUAGCACAAAAGCUCCCUGGACAACACCCAAAGAUAUGACAAAUGCACAAAAUAAUGAGGAAUAAUUAUAAUCUGGGGUGCUGAGAAACCAUGAACAGGUUGAACUUGCUCAGUAAUGUCAUCAGCCCCAACCGGACAGGCCCAGUCACGCGUGCACGGCGCAGCUCCACAGCCUCAUGGCUCCUCUGGUGUGACAGGCUGUCAGCAGCCUAGGGCUGCCUCUCCACUGACACCUGUUAAAUAUUCACACAUUUUCAAAGCAGGUCAGAAGGAACUACUUUAUGUGUAUGUACUGCAUAUCUGCAUGCUUUUAGCCCCCAUUUCUGGACAUGCUUUUUCACUACACACGCUGAAUACAACCUUCAUUUCGUAUGAAAUUAUGGCUCUGGUAGAGCUGACAACUUUACAGGUGUUGAUGGGGGCACCUUACAGAUAAUAAAAAGGUAAGAAACAAAACAGCAUUUGUCUAAUAUCCAGGUGGUGAGAAAAACAUUAGUGUGGGCCUCAGUGGAAAGGGAGCUCUGCCUCCAGCAGCAAGGGGGGCUACUGCCAGCAGUCACUGCACUGGGUUCUUCGAGGGCUUGGGCUCAGGAGCAUCCAGAACAGUGGUGCUGGGGAGGGGGAUUGUUGUUUCGGUGGAUUUGAUGUAUUCUGUUUAUACUGACUGAAAAAUGUUUCAUGAGGGUAACACAGAAGCUAAAUGCCAAAUUGGGCUAUUUAUUUUACUUCCUUCUAACUGGAUGUCCCAGAUUGCAGGCAAGAUGUAUUCUAUUUGCCAUCUGUAUGGCAGUUGUCUUUUGUCAAGUGGGCAGUUUUCCUUAUCUCUUCCACAAUCACUCCUCCCUCUGGGGAGACAUCUGCUGAUAACAGGCUAUUGAAUGUCACUGCAUGCCUGAUAAGAACUACAGCAUCCCAUUGGCAGAUGCUCCACCCAUAGGGAGGAGCCAAGCAUUCCUACCUGGAUAUAAUCUGGAGAUUCUGGAAUACCAGCACAGCUUCUCCACUGGAUUUCCCAGAGGAACAACAGCUGCCUCUUCCACUGGAUCUUCAGAGGAAGACUACACUCUUUCUACAGGAUCCCUGCUCCAACAGAACCACACCUGACACUCCAGGAGGACUGCAGCCACAUUUUCAAUUGGACUGCUACCAACACCCUGACCAACAGGGUGUCAGGCUGAGUUCUGACUCUGUCAGUGUUGUUUUGGUUUACUGCAUGGUUUAUUUUAUCUUUUUAUUUUCUUCCCUAAUAAAGAACUGCUAUUCCUGCUCCCAAA
Molecule: long non-coding RNA, 13554 nt
Organism: Haemorhous mexicanus (house finch)
Lineage: Eukaryota; Metazoa; Chordata; Aves; Passeriformes; Fringillidae
Exons: 2
Source: RefSeq, a predicted model, not a curated record